Pan paniscus (pygmy chimpanzee) is the source of this 773-nucleotide long non-coding RNA. The record is from Ensembl. Lineage: Eukaryota; Metazoa; Chordata; Mammalia; Primates; Hominidae.
GUCUUCUGUCUUAACCCCCAACUGAAGCCAACCUCAGUGAAUAAUUUGAGCAAAAUAAAGGGAAGACAAAAGUUAAUAGAAAAAAAAUGGUAGAGGCUUACAACACAACACUAUCAUUUGUAGUAACCUUCCACACACGCAUGAUUUUACAUUUUUACAUCUAGACUAUAUUUGGUCUUAGGGUAAGAUUAUUUUGUAAAAACUAAAGCUUCCAUAAUUUGUUUGGUUUACAAGUUAUGUGAAUUGACUGCUUAGAGCACAUGGUAAAUUUGUUUUACAAACUUUGCAGUAGAGUGAACUCUACCGGGUUUUACACUUUUUCUGAAGAUUAUUUGAUUUGAGAAAUCCUUGUGCAUCCUGGGGUUACCAAAUAUAAAAUGCCAGGUCUAACUACUGUCAGGUCCUUCACACUGAGUCUUGGGAUAUAUUUAGCAGUUAAAGUGACUGCUAACAGAAUCUGAUGCAACCUGGAAAUCAGUAUCUCCCAGUAAAGCCAGUACAACCGUACUAAGGACAGAUCCUAGAUUGCACAGGGAAGUGAAACAAAUGGAAAACCAUGCCACUGCAUGAAGAGACAUUUUGGAUUUCUGUCUUACUCUGUUGCAGAAUGAUUGGAGCUGAUAGAUCAAGGGAUUGCUAUUGCAAUUGUCGUUUCAGAGCUCAGGAAGCUUCAGUUGCUAAAACCUAUGUGAGUACAUCUUUCUCUUAACAGCAGGUUACUAGUCACUGCAAUGCUGUGUCCACCAAUGUAACUGUUAAUGAACAUGCACAUC